CAAUCAUGCUAUUACCUCGAAAUUACCAUUCAUGAAUCAAUGAAUUAUUUGUCAUGUUAAUAUAACAUCAAGAAAUGGAUGCCUUACCAACCAACAAGGAAAUCUAAAAGCUCCAGAUGAUUUUCAAUAUACUGCAUGCAGAAAUAAGUUUCAUCAGCCUUCUGCCUAAGCAAAAUGCACCAACAGUGAACAAGAUCUUUUCAUACCUAUAACCACA
This 217-nucleotide long non-coding RNA is filed under the name Sorghum bicolor (sorghum). RNAcentral's name for it is "long non-coding RNA (SBIC_LNC005501)". Lineage: Eukaryota; Viridiplantae; Streptophyta; Magnoliopsida; Poales; Poaceae. The record is from RNAcentral.